GAGUUUGAUCAUGGCUCAGAUUGAACGCUGGCGGCAGGCUUAACACAUGCAAGUCGAACGAUGAUUAUCUAGCUUGCUAGAUAUGAUUAGUGGCGGACGGGUGAGUAACAUUUAGGAAUCUGCCUAGUAGUGGGGGAUAGCUCGGGGAAACUCGAAUUAAUACCGCAUACGACCUACGGGUGAAAGGGGGCGCAAGCUCUUGCUAUUAGAUGAGCCUAAAUCAGAUUAGCUAGUUGGUGGGGUAAAGGCCUACCAAGGCGACGAUCUGUAACUGGUCUGAGAGGAUGAUCAGUCACACCGGAACUGAGACACGGUCCGGACUCCUACGGGAGGCAGCAGUGGGGAAUAUUGGACAAUGGGGGCAACCCUGAUCCAGCCAUGCCGCGUGUGUGAAGAAGGCCUUUUGGUUGUAAAGCACUUUAAGCAGGGAGGAGAGGCUAAUGGUUAAUACCCAUUAGAUUAGACGUUACCUGCAGAAUAAGCACCGGCUAACUCUGUGCCAGCAGCCGCGGUAAUACAGAGGGUGCGAGCGUUAAUCGGAAUUACUGGGCGUAAAGCGAGUGUAGGUGGCUCAUUAAGUCACAUGUGAAAUCCCCGGGCUUAACCUGGGAACUGCAUGUGAUACUGGUGGUGCUAGAAUAUGUGAGAGGGAAGUAGAAUUCCAGGUGUAGCGGUGAAAUGCGUAGAGAUCUGGAGGAAUACCGAUGGCGAAGGCAGCUUCCUGGCAUAAUAUUGACACUGAGAUUCGAAAGCGUGGGUAGCAAACAGGAUUAGAUACCCUGGUAGUCCACGCCGUAAACGAUGUCUACUAGCCGUUGGGGUCCUUGAGACUUUAGUGGCGCAGUUAACGCGAUAAGUAGACCGCCUGGGGAGUACGGCCGCAAGGUUAAAACUCAAAUGAAUUGACGGGGGCCCGCACAAGCGGUGGAGCAUGUGGUUUAAUUCGAUGCAACGCGAAGAACCUUACCUGGUCUUGACAUAGUGAGAAUCUUUCAGAGAUGAGAGAGUGCCUUCGGGAAUUCACAUACAGGUGCUGCAUGGCUGUCGUCAGCUCGUGUCGUGAGAUGUUGGGUUAAGUCCCGCAACGAGCGCAACCCUUUUCCUUAUUUGCCAGCGGGUUAAGCCGGGAACUUUAAGGAUACUGCCAGUGACAAACUGGAGGAAGGCGGGGACGACGUCAAGUCAUCAUGGCCCUUACGACCAGGGCUACACACGUGCUACAAUGGUAGGUACAGAGGGUUGCUACACAGCGAUGUGAUGCUAAUCUCAAAAAGCCUAUCGUAGUCCGGAUUGGAGUCUGCAACUCGACUCCAUGAAGUCGGAAUCGCUAGUAAUCGCAGAUCAGAAUGCUGCGGUGAAUACGU
Molecule: ribosomal RNA, 1364 nt
Filed under: unidentified marine bacterioplankton
Lineage: Bacteria
Description: bacterial SSU rRNA
Rfam family: Bacterial small subunit ribosomal RNA
Source: RNAcentral